RNAcentral lists this ribosomal RNA (341 nucleotides) under uncultured bacterium. RNAcentral describes it as "bacterial SSU rRNA". It matches the Rfam family "Bacterial small subunit ribosomal RNA", at positions 28 to 334 of the family's 1533-position model. The record is from RNAcentral.
GAUAAACGCUGGCGGCGCACAUAAGACAUGCAAGUCGAACGGAAGUCGUUACAAAAUGAAUAGAAGAUUUAUCUGAUUGAAGUUUUGUAACAAUGGCUUUAGUGGCGGACUGGUGAGUAACACGCGAGUAACCUGCCCCAGAGUGGGGGACAACAGUUGGAAAUGACUGCUAAUACCGCAUAUGCCUUAGCAACACAUGUUGCAAAAGGGAAAGGAGCAAUCCGCUGAUAGAUGGGCUUGCGUCUGAUUAGAUAGUUGGUGAGGUAACGGCCCACCAAGUCGACGAUCAGUAGCCGGACUGAGAGGUUGAACGGCCACAUUGGGACUGAGAUACGGCCCAG